AGUGAACGCUGGCGGUAGGCCUAACACAUGCACGUCGAACGGCAGCACAGGAGAGCUUGCUCUCUGGGCGGCGAGUGGCGGACGUGUGAGGAAUACAUCGGAAUCUACUUUUUCGUGGGGGAUAACGUAGGGAAACUUACGCUAAUACCGCAUACGACCUACGGGUGAAAGCAGGGGAUCUUCGGACCUUGCGCGAUUGAAUGAGCCGAUGUCGGAUUAGCUAGUUGGCGGGGUAAAGGCCCACCAAGGCGACGAUCCGUAGCUGGUCUGAGAGGAUGAUCAGACACACUGGAACUGAGACACGGUCCAGACUCCUACGGGAGGCAGCAGUGGGGAAUAUUGGACAAUGGGCGCAAGCCUGAUCCAGCCAUACCGCGUGGGUGAAGAAGGCCUUCGGGUUGUAAAGCCCUUUUGUUGGGAAAGAAAUCCAGCUGGUUAAUACCCGGUUGGGAUGACGGUACCCAAAGAAUAAGCACCGGCUAACUUCGUGCCAGCCGCCGCAGUAA
RNAcentral lists this ribosomal RNA (506 nucleotides) under uncultured bacterium. RNAcentral's name for it is "partial 16S ribosomal RNA". It matches the Rfam family "Bacterial small subunit ribosomal RNA", at positions 29 to 523 of the family's 1533-position model. The record is from RNAcentral.